This 550-nucleotide ribosomal RNA is filed under the name uncultured fungus. RNAcentral describes it as "eukaryotic LSU rRNA". The stretch from base 203 to 347 matches the Rfam family "5.8S ribosomal RNA". Lineage: Eukaryota; Fungi. The record is from RNAcentral.
UCCGUAGGUGAACCUGCGGAAGGAUCAUUACAAAUCACGUGGAGGGUGUUGGUUGCUGCUGCUGCUGUUUGGUAGCAGUAGUGACGAACUCCUGAAGCACAUAUGCACAGAGCCGUGCGUGGUGGUUUAUCACCUGCGCAUGUGCUUUGAUGUUCACGCUUGAAUGUUUGACAGAGUUAUCAGUGCAGCCCUAAAUAUAGACAACUUUUAACAAUGGAUCUCUUGGCUCUUGCAACGAUGAAGAACGCAGUAAAGUGCGAUAUGUAGUGCGAUUUGCAUGAAUCUGUGAGUCAUCUAAUCUUUGAACGCAACUUGCGCCUCUUUGAGGCAUGUUUGUUUGAGUGCCGCAUACCCUUAUGCAGCAAUGCGAUUUGAUUCACGUCUCCGGACCGAAUCUAAAUAUAGCCAGAUGGUGGUCAGCGUGACUAGCCCGAGUGCUAAGCAUUCUUGGAACUAGCAGGCAGCCAUUAAAAAUCUUUUUAUAUUUGGCCUCAAAUCAAGCAAGACUACCCGCUGGAACUUAAGGGCAUAUCAAUAAGGCGGGAGGGAA